Molecule: ribosomal RNA, 377 nt
Filed under: uncultured eukaryote
Lineage: Eukaryota
Description: partial 18S ribosomal RNA
Rfam family: Eukaryotic small subunit ribosomal RNA
Source: RNAcentral
CAAUAGCGUAUAUUAAAGUUGUUGCGGUUAAAAAGCUCGUAGUUGGAUUUCGGGUGGGAAUGGCCGGUCCGCCGUUUCGGUGUGCACUUGCUACGCCCACCUUGCUGCCGGGGACGUGCUCUUGAGUUCACGCUCGGGACACGGAGUCGGCGAGGUUACUUUGAGUAAAUUAGAGUGUUCAAAGCAGGCCUACGCUCUGAAUACAUUAGCAUGGAAUAACACGAUAGGACUCUGGCCUAUCUUGUUGGUCUGUAGGACCGGAGUAAUGAUUAAGAGGGACAGUCGGGGGCAUUCGUAUUUCAUUGUCAGAGGUGAAAUUCUUGGAUUUAUGAAAGACGAACUACCGCGAAAGCAUUUGCCAAGGAUGUUUUCAUUAA